Molecule: non-coding RNA, 965 nt
Organism: Trichonephila clavata
Lineage: Eukaryota; Metazoa; Arthropoda; Arachnida; Araneae; Nephilidae
Source: the annotation of a GenBank genome assembly
ACCUGGUUGAUCCUGCCAGUAGCAUAUGCUUGUCUCAAAGAUUAAGCCAUGCAUGUCUCAGUACUUGCCGCUCCGACGGCGAAACCGCAAAUGGCUCAUUAAAUCAGUCACGGUUCAUUGGAUCGUGACGCGUUACUUGGAUAACUGUGGCAAUUCUAGAGCUAAUACAUGCAGCCGAGCUCCGACCCUCCGGGGGACGAGCGCUUUUAUUAGAUUGUGACCGGCCCCUCCUCUCGGGUGGGGAUCGGAAACGUGAACCGAAGCUGAGUAACUUUGGCAGAUCGCACGGGCCCGUCCGGCGACGCAUCUUUCAAGUGUCUGCCCUAUCAACUGUCGACGGUAGGUCAUGCGCCUACCGUGGUCGCCACGGGUGACGGGGAAUCAGGGUUCGAUUCCGGAGAGGGAGCCUGAGAGACGGCUACCACAUCUAAGGAAGGCAGCAGGCACGCAAAUUACCCACUCCCGGCUCGGGGAGGUAGUGACGAAAAAUAACGAUACGGGACUCAUCGAGACCCGUGAUCGAAUGAGUACGCUCUAAACCCCCUAACGAGGACCUACCGGAGGGCAAGACUAAUGCCAGCCGCUGCGGUAAUUUUAGCUCCGGUAGCGUAUACUAAAAUUGUUGCAGUUAAAAAGGCUCGUAGUCGGACCUCUGCUCCGGACGCGGGGGCCGCUCGCGCGGUCUCCCGCGCGCUUCCGGGCAUUCUGCCCGCCACCUCGCGGGUGAUUUUAAAAGGUCGUCCCGGGUGGAAGGCGGUGAUCGCUUUGCAAAAAUUAGAGUGCUCAGAGCAGGCCCUGCCGCCUGGAUAGUAAUGCACGGAACGAUGGAAGACGCCCUCGGUCCCGGGUUUCCGUGGGAACAGGUCGACGGAGACCGAGGAAUGAUCGAUAGGAGCAGACGGGGGCAUCCGUAUUCCGACGCUAGAGGUGAAAUUCUUGGACCGUCGGAAGACGACCACUGCGAA